This 523-nucleotide small RNA is filed under the name Pongo abelii (Sumatran orangutan). Its description in RNAcentral is "processed transcript". The record is from RNAcentral. Lineage: Eukaryota; Metazoa; Chordata; Mammalia; Primates; Hominidae.
UGGCUUUGAAGAAACUAGCCCUGUUCAGCACUUUGCCGGUUUCCCCAUCUGCAGAAUGGCUGGCUCCAUGCUCCCUUAACAUACCUCCCAGUCUCAACCUCAAGGCAUCGUGGCUUGUUUGUGUGAACUGCGUUUAAUGGCCCUGUCAGCAAGUAGGUGAUGAUCAGGACAGGAUUCAUUUCAGAGAGAAGAGCUGGUGCUCCCAUGAAGGACCAAAAUGCCAUGUGGAGAGGGCCACAAGAGGAGGACCCAAGAGGGACCUCUACAAGCUGAGAGUUGAGAGUGGUCCCCUGCCAAGAGAAAGUGAGAAAAUAGGGCCUCACUAAUAUGGUCACAAGAAAAUGAAUUCUUCCAACAUCCAGAGGGAGCUUGGAAGUUGAUCUUUCUCUAGUCAAGCCUCCAUAUGAGGACACACCUGGCCAACACCUUGAUUUCAGACUUGUGGGAUCCCAAGCAGAGAACCCAUAUGAGCUGUGCCCAGACUUCUGACUUAGAGAAUUGUGAGCUAAUAAACAGGUGGUGU